AUGGCUGCUAGGCAAAUUUCAUGGACACCUACCAUGUCAUCAUACAUGCUAGCGAACCUAUGUGCUGUGGUGACCGGUGGCCAUAGAACCGGUACCGCCUUCAAGAAUGUACAUUGGAAUGCUUGUGCCAUGGCUAUGAAUGAACAUUUUAACCGCACUGACUUAAUUGGAACCCACAUCACAAAUCAUACAAGGACAUGGAAGAGGAAGUAUAAACAGAUAGUGCACCUCAAAUCAUUGAGUGGUGCACUUUGGGAUGAAGAGAACUUUAUGAUUGUUCUUGAUCAUGAGCAUUACACAAACCACAUUAAGGACCACAAAGAAGAUGAACCCUUCCUUAACAAGCCUAUUAAACAUUAUGAAGAGAUGCUGGUUAUCGUUGGAGCUAGCAUGGCUACAGGGCAAUAUGCAAAAGGCUCAAGUGACCCUUUAGGUACAGAUGUGAUUGAUCUUGAAGAACCGAAAGCCAACAAAGCUGCUGCCCCUCAUGAAGAGGUUUCCCAAUCACCCACUUGUGGCGAGUCAGCUGCUCCCAAGUUGAAGAAAGCCAAAACCAAUCCUUCUGCAGAAGACAGGAUGCAUGCAACCAUAAUGGCUUCAAGUGAAAGGCUUGCUGUUGCCAUAGAGAAACUUAUUAGCAGCGCCAACCCCGCCAUUGAUGGUCUUUGGGAUGAGAUGAAAGAACUCCCUGGUUUUGAUUUGGAUUCCCUUGCACAUUACUAUGCCUAUUUGGUUGACAAUCCUCGUGUUGCAACAGCAUUCAAGGUCUUGGGAGAUGUCCAGAGAAAGGUUUGGGUCUCUAGGUAUGUGAAGAGUACCUUCCCUGAAGCCGACGCAUGA
Molecule: ribosomal RNA, 840 nt
Filed under: Triticum aestivum (bread wheat)
Lineage: Eukaryota; Viridiplantae; Streptophyta; Magnoliopsida; Poales; Poaceae
Description: partial small subunit ribosomal RNA
Source: RNAcentral